Long non-coding RNA from Saccostrea cuccullata (small rock oyster), 269 nucleotides. RefSeq lists it as uncharacterized. The transcript has 3 exons. Lineage: Eukaryota; Metazoa; Mollusca; Bivalvia; Ostreida; Ostreidae. The record is from RefSeq and is a predicted model, not a curated record.
UUGAUAAUAAAUUUAUUUUUUUAGAUGUAUCAAUACAGUUCGAACUAUGAAAAUAAAGAUGAAAAGAUACACUGAGGAUUCAUUUUCAGUAAAAAGCAGAACUAUGACAAUUACAGGAGCAUCACCUGUGAAAGGUUACAAAUGUUACAAAUGACACCAAUGAAGGAUCUAUAAGCAACUGUUAUAUACCAGAAACAGGAGGCAGGUACAAAAUUAUUAAACGAAGACAGAAAACUUGCAAGUGAUCGUGCAUGAGAACUGAACACCAG